GUUGUAUGGUUAAGUGACUAAGCGUACACGGUGGAUGCCUUGGCAGUCAGAGGCGAUGAAAGACGUAGUAACUUGCGAUAAGCCCAGAUUAGGUAGUAACAACCAUUUGAGUCUGGGAUUUCUGAAUGGGGAAACCCACGUGCAUAAGCACGUAUCCUUACCUGAAUACAUAGGGUAAGGAGGCGAACCGGGGGAACUGAAACAUCUAAGUACCCCGAGGAAAAGAAAUCAACCGAGAUUCCGAAAGUAGCGGCGAGCGAAAUUGGACUAGCCCUUAAGCUUUACACGCGUUAGACGAACGGUCUGGAAAGUCCGACGAUACAGGGUGAUAGUCCCGUAGUUGACGACGUGUGUUCAGUGAAAUCGAGUAGGGCGGGACACGUGAUAUCCUGUCUGAAUAUGGGGGGACCAUCCUCCAAGGCUAAAUACUACUGACUGACCGAUAGUGAACCAGUACCGUGAGGGAAAGGCGAAAAGAACCCCUGUGAGGGGAGUGAAAUAGAACCUGAAACCGUGUACGUACAAGCAGUAGGAGCACCUUCGUGGUGUGACUGCGUACCUUUUGUAUAAUGGGUCAGCGACUUAUAUUCAGUGGCAAGGUUAACCAUCUAGGGGAGCCGUAGGGAAACCGAGUCUUAACUGGGCGUUCAGUCUCUGGAUAUAGACCCGAAACCAGGUGAUCUAGCCAUGGGCAGGUUGAAGGUUGAGUAACAUCAACUGGAGGACCGAACCGACUAAUGUUGAAAAAUUAGCGGAUGACUUGUGGCUAGGGGUGAAAGGCCAAUCAAACCUGGAGAUAGCUGGUUCUCCCCGAAAGCUAUUUAGGUAGCGCCUCGGACGAAUACUACUGGGGGUAGAGCACUGUUAAGGCUAGGGGGUCAUCCCGACUUACCAACCCUUUGCAAACUCCGAAUACCAGUAAGUACUAUCCGGGAGACACACGGCGGGUGCUAACGUCCGUCGUGGAGAGGGAAACAACCCAGACCGCCAGCUAAGGUCCCAAAUUACUACUAAGUGGGAAACGAUGUGGGAAGGCUCAGACAGCCAGGAUGUUGGCUUAGAAGCAGCCAUCAUUUAAAGAAAGCGUAAUAGCUCACUGGUCGAGUCGGCCUGCGCGGAAGAUGUAACGGGGCUAAGUAGUAAACCGAAGCUGCGGCAAURURCUUUUGYAYAUUGGGUAGGGGAGCGUUCUGUAAGCGGUUGAAGGUGUGUGGUAACGCAUGCUGGACGUAUCAGAAGUGCGAAUGCUGACAUGAGUAACGAUAAAGGGGGUGAAAAACCUCCUCGCCGGAAGACCAAGGGUUCCUGUCCAACGUUAAUCGGGGCAGGGURAGUCGACCCCUAAGGCGAGGCCGAAAGGCGUAGUCGAUGGGAAACGGGUUAAUAUUCCCGUACUUCUUACAAUUGCGAUGGGGGGACGGAGAAGGCUAGGUGGGCCUGGCGACGGUUGUCCAGGUUCAAGUGYGUAGGCUUAAGAGUUAGGUAAAUCCGGCUCUUUUUAAGGCUGAGACACGACGUCGAGCAYCUACGGRUGUGAAGUCAUUGAUGCCAUGCUUCCAGGAAAAGCCUCUAAGCUUCAGAUUGUAAGGAAUCGUACCCCAAACCGACACAGGUGGUCGGGUAGAGAAUACCAAGGCGCUUGAGAGAACUCGGGUGAAGGAACUAGGCAAAAUGGUACCGUAACUUCGGGAGAAGGUACGCUCUYGAYGGUGAAGUCCCUCGCGGAUGGAGCURWYGAGAGUCGCAGAUACCAGGUGGCUGCAACUGUUUAUUAAAAACACAGCACUGUGCAAAAUCGUAAGAUGACGUAUACGGUGUGACGCCUGCCCGGUGCCGGAAGGUUAAUUGAUGGGGUUAGACUUCGGUCGAAGCUCUUGAUCGAAGCCCCGGUAAACGGCGGCCGUAACUAUAACGGUCCUAAGGUAGCGAAAUUCCUUGUCGGGUAAGUUCCGACCUGCACGAAUGGCGUAAUGAUGGCCACGCUGUCUCCACCCGAGACUCAGUGAAAUUGAAAUCGCUGUGAAGAUGCAGUGUACCCGCGGCUAGACGGAAAGACCCCGUGAACCUUUACUACAGCUUGGCACUGAACAUUGACCCUACAUGUGUAGGAUAGGUGGGAGGCUUUGAAGCACGUACGCCAGUAUGUGUGGAGCCGUCCUUGAAAUACCACCCUUGUAGUGUUGAUGUUCUAACGUCGACCCCUWAUCGGGGUUGCGGACAGUGCCUGGUGGGUAGUUUGACUGGGGCGGUCUCCUCCCAAAGAGUAACGGAGGAGCACGAAGGUGGGCUAAUCACGGUUGGACAUCGUGAGGUUAGUGCAAUGGCAUAAGCCCGCUUGACUGCGAGAAUGACAAUUCGAGCAGGUGCGAAAGCAGGUCAUAGUGAUCCGGUGGUUCUGAAUGGAAGGGCCAUCGCUCAACGGAUAAAAGGUACUCCGGGGAUAACAGGCUGAUACCGCCCAAGAGUUCAUAUCGACGGCGGUGUUUGGCACCUCGAUGUCGGCUCAUCACAUCCUGGGGCUGAAGUCGGUCCCAAGGGUAUGGCUGUUCGCCAUUUAAAGUGGUACGCGAGCUGGGUUUAGAACGUCGUGAGACAGUUCGGUCCCUAUCUGCCGUGGGCGUUGGAAGAUUGAAGGGGGCUGCUCCUAGUACGAGAGGACCGGAGUGGACGAACCUCUGGUGUUCGGGUUGUGUCGCCAGACGCAUUGCCCGGUAGCUAAGUUCGGAAUCGAUAACCGCUGAAAGCAUCUAAGCGGGAAGCGAGCCCUGAGAUGAGUCUUCCCUGAUUACAACACCC
RNAcentral lists this ribosomal RNA (2796 nucleotides) under Vibrio parahaemolyticus. RNAcentral's name for it is "23S ribosomal RNA". Lineage: Bacteria; Pseudomonadati; Pseudomonadota; Gammaproteobacteria; Vibrionales; Vibrionaceae. The record is from RNAcentral.